This is a long non-coding RNA of Anguilla anguilla (European eel), 1391 nucleotides long. RefSeq lists it as uncharacterized. The transcript has 2 exons. NCBI's taxonomy places the organism in Eukaryota, Metazoa, Chordata, Actinopteri, Anguilliformes, Anguillidae. The record is from RefSeq and is a predicted model, not a curated record.
AGGAUUUCUGCUGUCCUGACUGCAGUGGGAAGAUGGGCAGGGUUUCUGCUGUUCUGACUGCAGUGGAAGAUGGGCAGAGGUUUUGCUGUUCUGACUGCAGUAGGAAGCUCAUUUUCACCACCGAGGAGUUAGAACAGAGAGGAGAUGUGACCUGGAAGUGCAGAGUCUCUGAAGGAAGGAAGGAAGAAUCUGCAUGCUUGAUAAACUGCCAUGAUGUUCUCAGAGAGGGAGGGUUUGUUGCUAGGUACCACUCUUUGAGUCCUGGUAUAUGAGGGUGGUGAGGUAGGUCCAGCAGUGAUUUAGCAGGGAAGUAGAGAUUCCCAGUUUUAGCCAAGUUGAGCUCAGGCAGAUGGUUUGUCAUACAAAUUGAGAUGUCUGAUAGGCAGGCUGAGAUGCGUAUCAAGACCAAUGUAUCAGAGCAGGGGAAGAGAGAGAGAGGGUUGUGCAUCAUCAGCAUAGUAAUCAUAAGUCGCGCUAUGGGAGGAGAUGACACAGCCAGGAGACAUGGUAUAGAGGGAAAAGAGGAGAGGGCCAAGGACUGAGCCCUGGGGGACGCCUGUAAAGAGCUCCUGCACCUCCCCCCCCCAUGCAACCUGGCAGGAGCGACGGUCAAGUCCAGAGGUGACUCAGGUACUCUUUUUAAUGGCUAAUCCAGAGGACAGUGUCCCCUACGGUACAAGGACGUUGUUCCCCUGGCCCCCGAGGAAGAAUGCCCCAUACUGACCCAUCAGCACCACUCCUGCAGCAGCCAAAUUUCUGGAGGAGGUUUAUUGUCCUGUAAGUUACCAAAGCCAGGACCACUCUGUUUCACCGAUCAGAAGGGAGGAAACUGAAGGUAAUAUGGCUCCUGCCAGUAAGACGUGGUUCUCACCCUUUUCAUUAACGCCAUAUUCAGAGUCCCAGUUUCUGCUGGUAGGAAAUUACAGUUGAGUUUCUCAUCCUCAGCCCGUAUUAACCAGAUAUCUGCUCUGUCCAUAUUAUUUAACCUUGCUGUACCUUACUAAUUGUUGACUUGAUAGCAUAUUCUGCCAAAUUAGAAAUGGCCAGCAAUGAUAAGAACAGGAGGUUGUGGGUUUCUAGGGUUUUAAUACUUGCAACAUUUGACUUCCUCAUUUAGUUCAAAUUAUGUAUCGCCUAGACGUCCAAAGUUUAAAUACACAGUUAUGAAUUUUUUAAUCGACACUAAUCCUGACAUGACCCUUGGAGGUUAGAUUUUUAGCACAGAGCUACUUCUGUUUAUGAAACGGGUUUGCAGUGUUACCCAACAUGUACUCCCUAAUUAACAUCAGCUGGAAUGAAAAUGGUGGUAAGUUAGCAUUUAUGUAUUUGAGUGAAAUAGGAGUGCGUAUUCUUUUUUCUUUUAAAGGUGAAUAAAGUUAAUUGAGACGUUU